This 497-nucleotide ribosomal RNA is filed under the name uncultured bacterium. RNAcentral describes it as "partial 16S ribosomal RNA". It matches the Rfam family "Bacterial small subunit ribosomal RNA", at positions 28 to 507 of the family's 1533-position model. The record is from RNAcentral.
GAUGAACGCUGGCGGCGUGCCUAAUACAUGCAAGUCGAGCGAACGGACGAGGAGCUUGCUUCUCUGAUGUUAGCGGCGGACGGGUGAGUAACACGUGGAUAACCUACCUAUAAGACUGGGAUAACUUCGGGAAACCGGAGCUAAUACCGGAUGAUAUUUUGAACCGCAUGGUUCAAAAGUGAAAGACGGUCUUGCUGUCACUUAUAGAUGGAUCCGCGCUGCAUUAGCUAGUUGGUAAGGUAACGGCUUACCAAGGCAACGAUGCAUAGCCGACCUGAGAGGGUGAUCGGCCACACUGGAACUGAGACACGGUCCAGACUCCUACGGGAGGCAGCAGUAGGGAAUCUUCCGCAAUGGGCGAAAGCCUGACGGAGCAACGCCGCGCGAGUGAUGAAGGUCUUCGGAUCGUAAAACUCUGUUAUUAGGGAAGAACAUAUGUGUAAGUAACUGUGCACAUCUUGACGGUACCUAAUCAGAAAGCCACGGCUAACUACGUG